RNAcentral lists this ribosomal RNA (2905 nucleotides) under Escherichia coli. RNAcentral's name for it is "23S ribosomal RNA". It matches the Rfam family "Bacterial large subunit ribosomal RNA". Lineage: Bacteria; Pseudomonadati; Pseudomonadota; Gammaproteobacteria; Enterobacterales; Enterobacteriaceae. The record is from RNAcentral.
GGUUAAGCGACUAAGCGUACACGGUGGAUGCCCUGGCAGUCAGAGGCGAUGAAGGACGUGCUAAUCUGCGAUAAGCGUCGGUAAGGUGAUAUGAACCGUUAUAACCGGCGAUUUCCGAAUGGGGAAACCCAGUGUGAUUCGUCACACUAUCAUUAACUGAAUCCAUAGGUUAAUGAGGCGAACCGGGGGAACUGAAACAUCUAAGUACCCCGAGGAAAAGAAAUCAACCGAGAUUCCCCCAGUAGCGGCGAGCGAACGGGGAGCAGCCCAGAGCCUGAAUCAGUGUGUGUGUUAGUGGAAGCGUCUGGAAAGGCGCGCGAUACAGGGUGACAGCCCCGUACACAAAAAUGCACAUGCUGUGAGCUCGAUGAGUAGGGCGGGACACGUGGUAUCCUGUCUGAAUAUGGGGGGACCAUCCUCCAAGGCUAAAUACUCCUGACUGACCGAUAGUGAACCAGUACCGUGAGGGAAAGGCGAAAAGAACCCCGGCGAGGGGAGUGAAAAAGAACCUGAAACCGUGUACGUACAAGCAGUGGGAGCACGCUUAGGCGUGUGACUGCGUACCUUUUGUAUAAUGGGUCAGCGACUUAUAUUCUGUAGCAAGGUUAACCGAAUAGGGGAGCCGAAGGGAAACCGAGUCUUAACUGGGCGUUAAGUUGCAGGGUAUAGACCCGAAACCCGGUGAUCUAGCCAUGGGCAGGUUGAAGGUUGGGUAACACUAACUGGAGGACCGAACCGACUAAUGUUGAAAAAUUAGCGGAUGACUUGUGGCUGGGGGUGAAAGGCCAAUCAAACCGGGAGAUAGCUGGUUCUCCCCGAAAGCUAUUUAGGUAGCGCCUCGUGAAUUCAUCUCCGGGGGUAGAGCACUGUUUCGGCAAGGGGGUCAUCCCGACUUACCAACCCGAUGCAAACUGCGAAUACCGGAGAAUGUUAUCACGGGAGACACACGGCGGGUGCUAACGUCCGUCGUGAAGAGGGAAACAACCCAGACCGCCAGCUAAGGUCCCAAAGUCAUGGUUAAGUGGGAAACGAUGUGGGAAGGCCCAGACAGCCAGGAUGUUGGCUUAGAAGCAGCCAUCAUUUAAAGAAAGCGUAAUAGCUCACUGGUCGAGUCGGCCUGCGCGGAAGAUGUAACGGGGCUAAACCAUGCACCGAAGCUGCGGCAGCGACACUAUGUGUUGUUGGGUAGGGGAGCGUUCUGUAAGCCUGUGAAGGUGUGCUGUGAGGCAUGCUGGAGGUAUCAGAAGUGCGAAUGCUGACAUAAGUAACGAUAAAGCGGGUGAAAAGCCCGCUCGCCGGAAGACCAAGGGUUCCUGUCCAACGUUAAUCGGGGCAGGGUGAGUCGACCCCUAAGGCGAGGCCGAAAGGCGUAGUCGAUGGGAAACAGGUUAAUAUUCCUGUACUUGGUGUUACUGCGAAGGGGGGACGGAGAAGGCUAUGUUGGCCGGGCGACGGUUGUCCCGGUUUAAGCGUGUAGGCUGGUUUUCCAGGCAAAUCCGGAAAAUCAAGGCUGAGGCGUGAUGACGAGGCACUACGGUGCUGAAGCAACAAAUGCCCUGCUUCCAGGAAAAGCCUCUAAGCAUCAGGUAACAUCAAAUCGUACCCCAAACCGACACAGGUGGUCAGGUAGAGAAUACCAAGGCGCUUGAGAGAACUCGGGUGAAGGAACUAGGCAAAAUGGUGCCGUAACUUCGGGAGAAGGCACGCUGAUAUGUAGGUGAAGUCCCUCGCGGAUGGAGCUGAAAUCAGUCGAAGAUACCAGCUGGCUGCAACUGUUUAUUAAAAACACAGCACUGUGCAAACACGAAAGUGGACGUAUACGGUGUGACGCCUGCCCGGUGCCGGAAGGUUAAUUGAUGGGGUUAGCCGCAAGGCGAAGCUCUUGAUCGAAGCCCCGGUAAACGGCGGCCGUAACUAUAACGGUCCUAAGGUAGCGAAAUUCCUUGUCGGGUAAGUUCCGACCUGCACGAAUGGCGUAAUGAUGGCCAGGCUGUCUCCACCCGAGACUCAGUGAAAUUGAACUCGCUGUGAAGAUGCAGUGUACCCGCGGCAAGACGGAAAGACCCCGUGAACCUUUACUAUAGCUUGACACUGAACAUUGAGCCUUGAUGUGUAGGAUAGGUGGGAGGCUUUGAAGUGUGGACGCCAGUCUGCAUGGAGCCGACCUUGAAAUACCACCCUUUAAUGUUUGAUGUUCUAACGUUGACCCGUAAUCCGGGUUGCGGACAGUGUCUGGUGGGUAGUUUGACUGGGGCGGUCUCCUCCUAAAGAGUAACGGAGGAGCACGAAGGUUGGCUAAUCCUGGUCGGACAUCAGGAGGUUAGUGCAAUGGCAUAAGCCAGCUUGACUGCGAGCGUGACGGCGCGAGCAGGUGCGAAAGCAGGUCAUAGUGAUCCGGUGGUUCUGAAUGGAAGGGCCAUCGCUCAACGGAUAAAAGGUACUCCGGGGAUAACAGGCUGAUACCGCCCAAGAGUUCAUAUCGACGGCGGUGUUUGGCACCUCGAUGUCGGCUCAUCACAUCCUGGGGCUGAAGUAGGUCCCAAGGGUAUGGCUGUUCGCCAUUUAAAGUGGUACGCGAGCUGGGUUUAGAACGUCGUGAGACAGUUCGGUCCCUAUCUGCCGUGGGCGCUGGAGAACUGAGGGGGGCUGCUCCUAGUACGAGAGGACCGGAGUGGACGCAUCACUGGUGUUCGGGUUGUCAUGCCAAUGGCACUGCCCGGUAGCUAAAUGCGGAAGAGAUAAGUGCUGAAAGCAUCUAAGCACGAAACUUGCCCCGAGAUGAGUUCUCCCUGACCCUUUAAGGGUCCUGAAGGAACGUUGAAGACGACGACGUUGAUAGGCCGGGUGUGUAAGCGCAGCGAUGCGUUGAGCUAACCGGUACUAAUGAACCGUGAGGCUUAACCUU